RNAcentral lists this ribosomal RNA (611 nucleotides) under uncultured bacterium. RNAcentral describes it as "bacterial SSU rRNA". It matches the Rfam family "Bacterial small subunit ribosomal RNA", at positions 59 to 654 of the family's 1533-position model. The record is from RNAcentral.
ACGGGGUGCUAGGAGCUGAUCACUUCGGUGUGAAGCACUUAGUUACCUAGUGGCGAACGGGUGAGUAACACGUAGGUAACCUGCCCUUAGGAUUGGGAUACUCCCGGGAAACCGGGCUCAAUACCGAAUAUGAUUCCGGGGUGAAAUGCCCAGGGAUAAAAGCUGCUGGCAACAGUGGCGCCUAUGGAGGGACCUGCGGCCUAUCAGCUUGUUGGUGAGGUAACGGCUCACCAAGGCUAAGACGGGUAGCCGGACUGAGAGGUUGAUCGGUCACACUGGAACUGAGACACGGUCCAGACUCCUACGGGAGGCAGCAGUGGGGAAUUUUGCGCAAUGGGCGAAAGCCUGACGCAGCGACGCCGCGUGGGGGAAGAAGGCCUUCGGGUUGUAAACUCCUUUUUUUACGGGAAAAAAGCCGCAAGGUGACGGUUCCCGUAAGAAUAAGCCACGGCUAACUCUGUGCCAGCAGCCCGCGGUAAGACAGAGGGGGCAGCGUUGUUCCGGAUUUACUGGGCUUAAAGGGCGUGUAGCGUCCCUGAUAAAUCAAAAGUGGGAACCCUGGGGUUCAACCCAGGAAGGGCAUUUUAAACUGUCAGGAUUGGAUUCUGCAG